UGACUUCACUACUUCCCUGGGCAACCUGAGCCAGUACUUCACCAAAUCCACACAGAAUCCCUGCAGGUUUAUUUGCUCUCUCUUCUACCCCAGACUACUUUUCAUCUUUCAGGAGAAGGUCAAGGAUGCUGCCUGGACUAUGAAUUUUGUUGUCACUGAAGAACCUGAGGCAUCAAACUGAACUGCACUUUGUGCUUUGUCACUGCAUUGGGUCCUGACCUCUUCAGUCCCACCCAUCCAUCAGACAAUGUCCCCCUAUUACAUAUGAAAUAUGCAAUGAAGACAUUUUCAUUCCUUCA
Coturnix japonica (Japanese quail) is the source of this 299-nucleotide non-coding RNA. The record is from RefSeq and is a predicted model, not a curated record. NCBI's taxonomy places the organism in Eukaryota, Metazoa, Chordata, Aves, Galliformes, Phasianidae.